Drosophila ananassae is the source of this 1624-nucleotide long non-coding RNA. RefSeq lists it as uncharacterized. Lineage: Eukaryota; Metazoa; Arthropoda; Insecta; Diptera; Drosophilidae. The record is from RefSeq and is a predicted model, not a curated record. The transcript is spliced from 2 exons.
AGUGCGGGUGCCGGGAUGUAAGUCUGGUCUUUUACUAAAGUCAAGUGCUCUCCACGAGCAAUAAAGUUGAUACAUUGAUAGUAUUUGCGAGAGCCAUAUCUAGUCGUCUACGAAUGCGUUGAUCUGUGGAUGCCGGGAUGUGUUAGGGUGAAUGGUGCAUAAAUCAGGAUCGAAUGAAUAGGUAUAUGGAAAGAUUCGCCGGCUUUUUAGUUGCAGGAAAAUAUAAACGAAAUCGAUAAAACAGUAACACCUUAGGAUUUUCCGUCAGACAUGAACAUAGCAGGUGCGUAAAACCAUUACGACUUUUACACUUUUGAACUUUAGGAGCACCGGGCAUAAAUAGUGAAUCCUACCGUUCCGCUAUUUGGAAUUCAGGAAGACUUCCGCUAAGAAUUGGAUGCAAUAGUAUUAUCACUUCAAUGCAAAGCUGUCCAUCCAAUAGAUACAUUAAGGGUACCACACGACAGUAAUGUCACUUCAUCAGAGCUAAUAUCAUCAGAACCAAGUCUCAAAGGAUCAGCCGUCUAUCCAAGCUAUCUCUUACCGUUUCAAUACGGUCCGGUAAUGUCUGCUACGAAUUCAAGGAAGACUCCUGCUAAAAGAUCAAAUGGAUCUUCAUACAACAGUGACAUUGUCCUUUCAAUCGGUUGUCGCAGCGCAUGCAGUUACCAGCAGCAAAUAAACCACUCUCAACGGGCAGAAACGAAAAACAGAAAGAUGGAAAGGGAAACCAUUGACCCUUCAAAAAUAACAGCCAAUAGUUGUGAGGCGACCGCUCAACGCCCCUAAAUGCCCAGCAAGAAAUUGGGCAGGAGAUCUCAAGAAGUAUUCGGAACUAUAAAAAGGGUGCGCACAGUCGCUAAGAUUAAAAAAUGCGCCCAGUCAGAAAUGCAACGGCCAAAGGUUUGUGGCAUAUCGGAUAUAUACCUAAUGACGUCAAAUAUCAUCCGCCUAUAAUGAAGUUGAUGUCUCAUCCAGAGGAACAACCGCUGUCAAACAACAAUUUUGAUUUUAUGGUCCCCUAUUUUUACAUGGAUCAAGGGAGAACUGGACAAACAUGCCAGUCAUUAUUUAGACCAGCUUAGAGCAUCAAUCUCACCAUGGCAGCCGCAAAGUACACAUUCGCGGGACACAGAAAAGAGGCGAGGUAUACCAUUGUAGGCAAAGUAAUUCCUUUCACAAAUUGCAACGGAUUGAUGCAUAAAUCGGUUCUUUUAUAAGGCCAAUAAACCAUCAACAAAGGCAGUAUGUCUAGGUAAACUAAGCUAGGAAUUUAACGCUAGUGCUAACAGCUCACGCAUUACAAAAGAGUCGAUAAAUAUAAUUCCUUUAUAUCGCUGGUCCCUUCGGCAAGCAGACUAGAGUAUUCUUACCGGUUCUAUCAUGCAAAACAUCCAGUUUUGCUCCCCUACAAUGACAUAAAUGUAAGAGAACUACACGAAAACAACAUGCAAUGCAGGUCCUCAAGACUUACGUGAAAAAAACAACAGAAGCGCAACUGCGUGCGAUGUAGUCAAGAAAUUAAUCAAUUCAAUUAUGGAAAAUCUACCAGCCGAGUGAUGUUGAUAUAGUUGGAUGUUGAUUAGUAGAGCUCAAAACAUGAACCACUAUUUUACGAACUGUA